Molecule: ribosomal RNA, 473 nt
Filed under: uncultured bacterium
Lineage: Bacteria
Description: bacterial SSU rRNA
Rfam family: Bacterial small subunit ribosomal RNA
Source: RNAcentral
CUCUGUGACUCCUACGGGAGGCAGCAGUGGGGAAUAUUGCACAAUGGGGGAAACCCUGAUGCAGCCAUGCCGCGUGUGUGAAGAAGGCCUUCGGGUUGUAAAGCACUUUCAGUAGGGAGGAAGGUAGUGUAGUUAACACCUGCACUAUUUGACGUUACCUACAGAAGAAGCACCGGCUAACUCCGUGCCAGCAGCCGCGGUAAUACGGAGGGUGCGAGCGUUAAUCGGAAUUACUGGGCGUAAAGCGCAUGCAGGCGGCCUGUUAAGUCAGAUGUGAAAGCCCCGGGGCUUAACCUCGGAAUUGCAUUUGAAACUGGCAGGCUAGAGUCUUGUAGAGGGGGUAGAAUUUCAGGUGUAGCGGUGAAAUGCGUAGAGAUCUGAAGGAACACCAGUGGCGAAGGCGACUUUCUGGACUGUAACUGACGCUGAGGCACGAAAGCGUGGGGAGCGAACAGGAUUAGAUACCCUGGUAG